CAGCAGCCACGGUAAUACGUAGGUGGCAAGCGUCGUCCGGAAUUAUUGGGCGUAAAGGGCUCGCAGGCGGUUUCUUAAGUCUGAUGUGAAAGCCCCCGGCUCAACCGGGGAGGGUCAUUGGAAACUGGGAAACUUGAGUGCAGAAGAGGAGAGUGGAAUUCCACGUGUAGCGGUGAAAUGCGUAGAGAUGUGGAGGAACACUAGUGGCGAAGGCGACUCUCUGGUCUGUAACUGACGCUGAGGAGCGAAAGCGUGGGGAGCGAACAGGAUUAGAUACCCGUGUAGUCCCUGUCUCUUAUAA
Molecule: ribosomal RNA, 301 nt
Filed under: uncultured bacterium
Lineage: Bacteria
Description: partial 16S ribosomal RNA
Rfam family: Bacterial small subunit ribosomal RNA
Source: RNAcentral